CCUCCCUCAAACACUCUUGACUCCAGCUGGAUCUUUGCUAGGGCACAGAGAUUUUUCCAUCUUUGAGUUAGCUAAAGUUAUUCUACCUCCAGCUUACCACUCUAGUUACUAGAGCUAUGGUGCUCCUUAGCUUUGGGUAUGUUUGCUUUUGCUGUCCUAAAUCCAGAUGAGAGAAACGUUCAAGGUGGGUCUGGUGGUAGCAGCGGUGCAGCUUAGAGUAUCCUAUUUUUUGUGGCUCUUAGGAGUAGUUUCACGGUUAUGGGCCUUUUUGUAACAGUUGUCCUAGUGGGAACCCCUUUUGCAAACUGUUAUACUGUCAGCUUUUAGACUCUAUUUUGUUCAUGGCAUGGUAGUAUGUCUAAGCUUCCUUCCCAGUACUCUUAAG
This is a long non-coding RNA of Vigna unguiculata (cowpea), 385 nucleotides long. RefSeq lists it as uncharacterized. Lineage: Eukaryota; Viridiplantae; Streptophyta; Magnoliopsida; Fabales; Fabaceae. The record is from RefSeq and is a predicted model, not a curated record.